RNAcentral lists this small nuclear RNA (133 nucleotides) under Loxodonta africana (African savanna elephant). RNAcentral describes it as "U5 spliceosomal RNA". It matches the Rfam family "U5 spliceosomal RNA". Rfam says of the family: U5 RNA is a component of both types of known spliceosome. Lineage: Eukaryota; Metazoa; Chordata; Mammalia; Proboscidea; Elephantidae. The record is from Rfam by way of RNAcentral.
AUACUCUGGUUUCUCUCCAGAAUGUAUCAGUCUUUGGUCUUUUACCAAAGGCGUCUGGAGAUGCAACGAUUGUGAGUAAACGGCACAAAACAACAACAACCAAUUUUUGGAAGCCCUGCAUAGUGGCAGGGCU